CCCAGUGCCAUUCUUAACGGGAUGGCUUUUUUUGACCCGUAAAAAGCUUGAAGAAUAAGAGCUGGGCAAGACCGGUGCCACCCGCCGCGGUAACACCGGCAGCUCGAGUGGUAGCCAUUUUUAUUGGGCCUAAAGCGUCCGUAGCCGGCUUAUUAAGUCUUUGGUGAAAUCCUGUAAUCCAACUGUCAGGCUUUCAAGAGAUACUGUCUGG
This 211-nucleotide ribosomal RNA is filed under the name uncultured archaeon. RNAcentral's name for it is "partial 16S ribosomal RNA". It matches the Rfam family "Archaeal small subunit ribosomal RNA", at positions 381 to 591 of the family's 1478-position model. The record is from RNAcentral.